Molecule: microRNA precursor, 81 nt
Filed under: Anopheles gambiae str. PEST
Lineage: Eukaryota; Metazoa; Arthropoda; Insecta; Diptera; Culicidae
Description: partial AGAP013661-RA
Source: RNAcentral
GUGUGUGUGUGUGUGUGUGUGUGUGUGUGUGUGUGUGUGUGUGUAGGACACUCUCAAAUACACAUACACACCCACACACUC